Molecule: ribosomal RNA, 254 nt
Filed under: uncultured bacterium
Lineage: Bacteria
Description: partial 16S ribosomal RNA
Rfam family: Bacterial small subunit ribosomal RNA
Source: RNAcentral
UACGGGGGGAGCAAGCGUUGUUCGGAUUUACUGGGCGUAAAGGGCGCGUAGGCGGUCGUGACAAGUCACUUGUGAAAUCUCCGGGCUUAACUCGGAACGGUCAAGUGAUACUGUCGGACUAGAGUACAGAAGGGGCACCUGGAAUUCUCGGUGUAGCGGUGAAAUGCGUAGAUAUCGAGAGGAACACCUGCGGCGAAGGCGGGUUGCUGGGCUGAUACUGACGCUGAGGCGCGAAAGCCAGGGGAGCGAACGGG